RNAcentral lists this ribosomal RNA (163 nucleotides) under Ceratobasidium sp. AG-F. RNAcentral describes it as "5.8S ribosomal RNA". It matches the Rfam family "5.8S ribosomal RNA". Rfam says of the family: 5.8S ribosomal RNA (5.8S rRNA) is a component of the large subunit of the eukaryotic ribosome. Lineage: Eukaryota; Fungi; Basidiomycota; Agaricomycetes; Cantharellales; Ceratobasidiaceae. The record is from RNAcentral.
ACUAAGGUUUCUACAACGGAUCUCUUGGCUCUCGCAUCGAUGAAGAACGCAGCGAAAUGCGAUAAGUAAUGUGAAUUGCAGAAUUCAGUGAAUCAUCGAAUCUUUGAACGCACCUUGCGCUCCUUGGUAUUCCUUGGAGCAUGCCUGUUUGAGUAUCAUGAAA